Molecule: ribosomal RNA, 253 nt
Filed under: uncultured bacterium
Lineage: Bacteria
Description: partial 16S ribosomal RNA
Rfam family: Bacterial small subunit ribosomal RNA
Source: RNAcentral
UACAGAGGUCUCAAGCGUUGUUCGGAUUCAUUGGGCGUAAAGGGUGCGUAGGUGGCGCCGUAAGUCGGGUGUGAAAUUUCGGAGCUUAACUCCGAAACUGCAUUCGAUACUGCGGUGCUUGAGGACUGGAGAGGAGACUGGAAUUCAUGGUGUAGCAGUGAAAUGCGUAGAGAUCAUGUGGAAGACCAGUGGCGAAGGCGGGCCUCUGGACAGUUCCUGACACUGAGGCACGAAGGCCAGGGGAGCAAACGGG